Molecule: ribosomal RNA, 478 nt
Filed under: uncultured organism
Description: bacterial SSU rRNA
Rfam family: Bacterial small subunit ribosomal RNA
Source: RNAcentral
GAUGAACGCUAGCGGCAGGCCUAACACAUGCAAGUCGAGGGAGAAUGCAGCAAUGCAGGGAACCGGCGGACGGGUGCGGAACACGUAUGCAACCUGCCCUAUCCAGGGGGAUAGCCCGCCGAAAGGCGGAUUAAUACCCCGUAAUAAUACGGAGCCGCAUGGUUUUGUAUUUAGAGGAGCGAUCCGGGAUAGGAUGGGCAUGCGCAGCAUUAGCUAGACGGCGGGGUAACGGCCCACCGUGGCAAUGAUGCUUAGGGGCCCUGAGAGGGGCAUCCCCCACACUGGGACUGAGACACGGCCCAGACUCCUACGGGAGGCAGCAGUGAGGAAUAUUGGUCAAUGGGCGGAAGCCUGAACCAGCCAUGCCGCGUGCAGGAAGAAGGCCCUCUGGGUCGUAAACUGCUUUGGGUGCCGGCGAACCGCGGGGACGUGUCCCCGCCUGACGGUAGGCACAUAACAAGCACCGGCUAACUCCGUG